Molecule: non-coding RNA, 578 nt
Organism: Macaca mulatta (Rhesus monkey)
Lineage: Eukaryota; Metazoa; Chordata; Mammalia; Primates; Cercopithecidae
Source: RefSeq, a predicted model, not a curated record
UAAAGAAAACCCAAUCGGGGCAGGCGGGAAGCACUCCAGCCUCCUUGCAAGCUUGGGGCACCUCAUUCUCUCCCGUGCCCCUUCUCCCAGCUGGGUCUGAGCCCCCGCCCCCCGGCUCCUCCGUUCCGCUUCUCCCAGCUUCUCUCUCCAUCUACCCCGAUGGCCUCUUUCUACACUGUCUGCCUCAGCUUCCAGGUCUCUGCUGGUCCCUAGGAAGCACUUUGACCUCUGCUUCCCCUUCAAAUGCUGUGGAUCAAGCCUCCCCCAACCCCACCAUCCCACCAAAGGGGGCUGCUGACCAAGAGAGCUCACUCAGUCAGAUGUCCCACCAAUGGCCGAGUGCCAGUCAGUCACGGCCUCAGUGCAAGACCUCGUCCCUCCCAGAAAGCCGUGGCUCCGGACUCCACCCACUGAAAACAGGGCUUCUGUGGGACUGCAACGGGACACGAAGAAAAACAUGCUGAACCUGGUCUCCAUGGGACCUGAGGUGCGAGUCACAUUCAUUCACAUCCCUGGCUUGGAGCCUCUCCACUCACAAGUUAUUGAUAAUUGAGAAAAUAAAACAACAUGCGAUCGUA